GGACUGAGGUGAAAGGAGGACAGAGAGCCUCCCCUUAAAUCCAUGCACGCACAGCACCUCACACAAAGUCACCACCAAGUCACCACGCGUGCCACGUCCCAUGGGCCGCAGUAACACACAUCAGUAAUAACUGCUCCGAAGGGACACAGGAGGCUGCCAGGAGCCCUUGAAAGAUGGGAGGGAGGGAAGGCAGAAGGGAGGAUGGCACGCAAGGCGGGGAAGAGAAAGGAACCCAUGUGCGGUGGGAAGAACAGAAAGCACCAUCCCUCAGCGGGCAACGCUUUAUCCAGGGCAGCGGCAGCGGCCCGGCACUGACAAUACAGCGACUGGAGACACGCCUGCACCGCCGUGGCCCUCGCAGAAAAGUAGUUACUCCUUUUCCCGAAAACUUUGCCUGACUGGAGCCCAAGAACACAAUGUCUUGCAGAAGCAUCAGUCAAAGCUGGUUACAACUCGACUGCCCUGCCUUGGCAAACACCUGUCAUGCUGUCCUUGCAACAAAUCAACACAUUUUAGUCUUAUGCUUAAGGAAGGAGAGAAGAAGAUGCAAUAUCAAAGCCAAGCUCUAUUACUUGAAGAAUUAUUUCAACCCCCCUCUUGAUCACUCUUCCACAUGCCAUCAAAUUCAGCAGAAAACGUCUCAUGGAGUCUUGACCUUUUGUGCCUUGGAGAACACCACCCUGCAUUAUCGCUCCAUGCUCUUCUCACUGGCUUAACCCUGCGGUGAAUCACGCAGCUCCUCGUCCCAGCACACACAGCACUGCAGGCACCUGCCAAGCUCUGUCAAACACAAGCACAGGUCCCAGCCCAAGGUGCUUGUUUUCACUUAAAUUAUGCAUUUCAUAACUAGCUUGGAAGGCACUUUGAAGAUACAGCACUAAGUAUUAUUAAUGCUAAAUGGUAUUUUUGGACAGGCAUAAUGCAAGCAAUUAAAUAGUAAUACCAUAAAAACAGGUGUGGGACACAAAGGUAGAAUUAAGUCAUUAAGUCAUAUAUGCCUACUUUAUAUCCACAUCUUACGGAUGUUGAUUACUCAGUACAGCCUGACACUCCGAAAAUAAGCUUUCAUCGCUCUUUUUAUACACAGCCUUACAGCGAGGAACUGCUAAAGCCUGUGUUCAGAUUAGUGUUUUGACAGGUAUAUCGGUGCUGCCAGCGAGGCUGGCAAGGAACUGCCAUGGAUCAGCCUUCGUGGAAGGUGAACAUCUGGAAGCUGCGUGAGCAGGGCUCUCACCUACUGCCCACGAGUGUCCAAAAUGAGCUGCCUGGAUGGAUGCACGGGACACUGGGGAAAAGACCCGCAGAGCAGCACUGCAGGCUACAGCCGUCGAUGGUGAAGGUAACUGCGGUGGGGAUGAGAAGCCCUCACAAUUCCCGCGUGCCUCCUGAACGAAUGUAUGGUCAGUUCAACAAUGUAUCUUGCCCCCACCUUCCAACACCACUCUGAACAGCAAACUCACAGGACUGGAUGUCUCUUGUACAAGGCAUCCAGGUAUGUCCACAAGUCCCUGUGGAUGAACGGCAUGACCUUCAUGGUAGGACAUCCCUUCUAUAGUGCAGGAUUCGCACGACUAGAUUCCAGCAUUGGUGGGAGAUCAAAUGCCCCAAGUCCACUCGAUAAAGUGUUAACUCUGAAGGGUAGUGAUGGCUGUGUAAACUAAGUUUGUUUGGAUACUCCAAGUCAUGUUUGCUCUGUAGUCUGCCAGAACAAACCUUUGGCCUGGUGACCCUCCUCUUUCCCCUGCGUGCAACCCCCUGUGCCAUAGUGGCACGGUGUGUGCGCUGGAACUGGGAGCCAGAUGGAAAUUAGCCCAGAAGAAGAAUACUUUGUUUUCGGCUGGAUUGUUCCCAGGCUUUGAUUGUGGUGUGGACACACAGAGAGGUAUGUCAGCACAACUGAGGGGGCAGCAGGAUCCAGCACAGAGACAGGAAUGCACAGGACGAGCUGGAGCUGGGGAUAGAACGAUACACCAAGAGAACAAGGGACCAGCACCGUGCCAGAAACCUCAGCUGCUGUGCCCCGUUGCUGUCUGCUCACCCCGUCCCUCACAGGAGAGAGGACUGGGAAAGGGGAGGGAGGGGUGAGAGUGGAAACUCACCUUCGGACUGUCCUACCUUCCAUCCCGCUGGCGCAGCAACACCGAGGAAAUAAGGCUGCGGUUUUGCAAGCAUCUUUUUUUGGUGGCAGCGCUUUGAUGGAGCGGUUGGGUUACGUUGUGCUGGUGCAGCUCUUUGUGCAGUUGUGUUGUCAAACAGACCAGGAGACUGCUUUAAAAAAGCAGUACCCUCCCCACCUCAGUUAUUUUUACCCUGGCUCAGGUCCAAGGCGCGAUUCACCUCGUCUCCACCGAGGUGCAACUGCAAGAAGAGUGCUGGACUGGGAAAGUGUAGCCAGAAGCAGGCGAACAGGGGUCUGCGUAAAUCCACGGUGCCUCUCAAAAAGUGCCCAUGGCCCAGUCCCUCAGGGAGCGUUUCUCUUCAGCAAUCACGGGCAACUUGUUUGUCAGAAUUAGGGAGAUCAAAAAAAGAGGAAAGAAAGGUUGAAUCCGUGUAGGCACGUGCAGCAUUUGCAUACUAUUUUCCUCUGCAAAACAUAAAAGGAAAUCUGACUGUAAUCAUGUUAGAAAUGCUCCCUUUUCCCCUCCCAUUUAAUCUAAGCAUUACGUAUGACACAGUCCCCAGCAUGUAAGACGGCAGUCCAGCAGAACACUUAGGCAUGGACGCUGCCUUUAACACCUGACUCUUCCUGCUGAAGUCAGUGGAAACACUUCGAUGCUUGAAGUUGCACAUGCUUAACUGCUUUGUUAGGUCACAAGCUAAUUUAAGGACAGAGAAGCACAGCUCCGAAAGAGAAAAAUAGGUUAAUAACACUGAAGUUGCAGCAAAUCUGUGGGAAGCCUCCUGGAAUAGGUUCGUAAUUAGUAAAUCGACCCUUCCCAAAGUAAAUAUUUUCACCUUUUCUUCAGCUCCCUUUUUCCCCUGAUUUUGCCAGUGGACUGUGGUUCCUGGGUAAAGACAGGACAGACUGAAGACUUCUACACUUAAAAAUCAGUGCCUGAAUCGUACAGCAGCACCUGGGAGCCUGCACCGUGCUGUACCAUCUUCCUAUGCAGCAUUGCAUGAGGGAGGUGUUUCAAGGGGGUAGCUGU
Molecule: long non-coding RNA, 3149 nt
Organism: Chroicocephalus ridibundus (black-headed gull)
Lineage: Eukaryota; Metazoa; Chordata; Aves; Charadriiformes; Laridae
Exons: 3
Source: RefSeq, a predicted model, not a curated record